UACGUAGGUGACAAGCGUUGUCCGGAUUUACUGGGCGUAAAGAGCGCGCAGGCGGUCGAUCAAGUCGAGUGUGAAAGCCCCCGGCUCAACUGGGGAGGGUCAUUCGAUACUGUUCGACUCGAAGGCAGGAGAGGGAAGUGGAAUUCCCGGUGUAGUGGUGAAAUGCGUAGAUAUCGGGAGGAACACCAGUGGCGAAGGCGACUUCCUGGCCUGUUCUUGACGCUGAGGCGCGAAAGCUAGGGGAGCAAACGGG
This 253-nucleotide ribosomal RNA is filed under the name uncultured bacterium. Its description in RNAcentral is "partial 16S ribosomal RNA". It matches the Rfam family "Bacterial small subunit ribosomal RNA", at positions 524 to 776 of the family's 1533-position model. The record is from RNAcentral.